AUUCCAGCUCCAAUAGCGUAUAUUAAAGUUGUUGCAGUUAAAAAGCUCGUAGUUGAACUUCUGAUAGUUGAUUUGGCUGGCUUCGGUCGCCUUGUUGGCUGUCAUCCGCUUGGGAAUUUCGUUCGGUCUUCAUUGAUUGGCGGGGGGAUCAAGCAUUUUACUUUGAAAAAAUUAGAGUGUUCAAGGCAGGCUAUCGCCAUGAAUACACAAGCAUGGAAUAAUGGAAUAGGACUCUCAGUCACUUUAUUGGUUAUUAACUGAAAGUAAUGAUUAAUAGGGAUAGUCGGGGGCAUUCGUAUUCAAACGACAGAGGUGAAAUUCUUGGACCGUUUGAAGACGAACUAAGGCGAAAGCAUUUGCCAAGAAUGUUUUCAUCA
RNAcentral lists this ribosomal RNA (377 nucleotides) under Metazoa sp. RNAcentral's name for it is "partial small subunit ribosomal RNA". It matches the Rfam family "Eukaryotic small subunit ribosomal RNA", at positions 582 to 975 of the family's 1831-position model. Lineage: Eukaryota; Metazoa. The record is from RNAcentral.